GAUGAACGCUGGCGGCGUGCUUAACACAUGCAAGUCGAACGAGAAGUGGAGACGGAAACCUUCGGGCGGAAGACUUUACUUCGAGUGGCGGACGGGUGAGUAACGCGUGGGUAACCUGCCUCAUACAGGGGGAUAACAGUUGGAAACGACUGUUAAUACCGCAUAAGACCACAGCACCGCAUGGUGCGGGGGUAAAAACUCCGGUGGUAUGAGUUGGACCCGCGUUCGAUUAGCCAGUUGGCGGGGUAACGGCCCACCAAAGCGACGAUCGAUAGCCGAUCUGAGAGGAUGACCGGCCACAUUGGGACUGAGACACGGCCCAAACUCCUACGGGAGGCAGCAGUGGGGAAUAUUGCACAAUGGGGGAAACCCUGAUGCAGCGACGCCGCGUGAGUGAAGAAGUAUUUCGGUAUGUAAAGCUCUAUCAGCAGGGAAGAAAAUGACAGUACCUGAGUAAGAAGCCCCGGCUAACUACGUG
Molecule: ribosomal RNA, 478 nt
Filed under: uncultured bacterium
Lineage: Bacteria
Description: partial 16S ribosomal RNA
Rfam family: Bacterial small subunit ribosomal RNA
Source: RNAcentral